Molecule: ribosomal RNA, 284 nt
Filed under: uncultured bacterium
Lineage: Bacteria
Description: partial 16S ribosomal RNA
Rfam family: Bacterial small subunit ribosomal RNA
Source: RNAcentral
GAUAAACGCUGGCGGCGUGCCUAACACAUGCAAGUCGAACGCCCUACGCUUGCGUAGGGAGUGGCGGACGGGUGAGGAACACGUGGGUCAUCUACCCAGAGGUGAGGAAUACCGGCGAGAAAUCGCCGACAAUACCGCAUACGUUCUGUAAAGAACAAAGUCGCAAGACGCCUUUGGAUGAGCCUGCGCCCGAUUAGUUAGUUGGUGGGUAAAGACCUACCAAGACUACAAUCGGUAGCUGGCUGAGAGGACGAUCAGCCACACCUGGGAUUGAGAACGGCCCA